UUCGCAAUGCCCGAAAGGGUGACGAAGCGACGCCGCGUGCGGGAAGAAGGCCUUCGGGUUGUAAACCGCUGUCGGGAGUUAAGAAAUGCAGAGAUGUUAAUAGCGUCUUUGCUUGACUAAGGCUCCGGAGGAAGCCACGGCUAACUCUGUGCCAGCAGCCGCGGUAAUACAGAGGCGGCAAGCGUUGUUCGGAAUUAUUGGGCGUAAAGAGCACGUAGGCGGCCUUGUAAGUCAGUUGUGAAAGCCUUCUGCUUAACGGAAGAACAGCAUCUGAUACUGCAAGGCUAGAGUGCGGAAGGGGAGAGUGGAACUUCUGGUGGAGCGGUGAAAUGCGUAGAUAUCAGAAGGAACACCGGCGGCGAAGGCGACUCUCUGGUCCGUAACUGACGCUGAGUGUGCGAAAGCUAGGGGAGCAAACGGGAUUAGAUACCCCGGUAGUCCUAGCCGUAAACGAUGGGCACUAAGUAGAGGGGUUUU
RNAcentral lists this ribosomal RNA (477 nucleotides) under uncultured anaerobic ammonium-oxidizing bacterium. RNAcentral's name for it is "bacterial SSU rRNA". It matches the Rfam family "Bacterial small subunit ribosomal RNA", at positions 365 to 832 of the family's 1533-position model. The record is from RNAcentral.